GACGAACGCUGGCGGCGUGCUUAACACAUGCAAGUCGAACGGAAAGGCCCUGCCUUUGUGUGGUGCUCAAGUGGCGAAAGGGUGAGUAACACGCGAGUAACCUGCCCCUGACUUUGGGAUAACUUCAGGAAACUGGGGCUCAUACCCGAUAGGUGCUCCUGCUGCAUGGUGGGGGUUGGAAAGUUUCGUCGGUGGGGGAUGGACUCGCGUCUUCUCCGCUGUUCGGUUGGGUAGUGGCUUACCCAGGCUUUGACGGGUGGCCGGCCUGAGAUGGUGACAGGCCACAUUGGGACUGAGAUAGGGCCCAGGCUGCUACGGGGGGCAGCAGUGGGGAAUAUUGCGCAAGGGGCUGAGGCCUGAUGCGGCAACUCCGCGUGCGGGAUGACGGCCUUCGGGUUGUAAACCGCUUUCGCCUGUGACGAAGCGUGAGUGACGGUAAUGGGUAAAGAAGCACCGGCUAACUACGUG
This 468-nucleotide ribosomal RNA is filed under the name uncultured bacterium. RNAcentral's name for it is "partial 16S ribosomal RNA". It matches the Rfam family "Bacterial small subunit ribosomal RNA", at positions 28 to 507 of the family's 1533-position model. The record is from RNAcentral.